AUUGAACGCUGGCGGCAGGCCUAACACAUGCAAGUCGAACGAGUGGCGGACGGGUGAGUAAUGUCUGGGAAACUGCCUGAUGGCGGGGGAUAACUACUGGACACGGUAGCUAAUACCGCAUACCAUCAGAUGUGCCCAGAUGGGAUGAGCUAGUUGGUGGGGUAACGGCUACCCAAGGCGACGAUCCCUAGCUGGUCUGCGAGGAUGACCAGCAACACGGGAACUGAGACACGGUCCAGAAGCCUACGGGAGGCAGCAGGGGGGAAUAUUGCACAAUGGGCGCAAGCCUGAUGCAGCCAUGCCGCGUGUAUGAAGAAGGCCUUAGGGUUGUAAAGUACUUUCAGCGGGGAGGCGUGACCCGCAGAAGAAGCACCGGCUAACUCCGUGCCAGCAGCCGCGGUAAUAC
Molecule: ribosomal RNA, 406 nt
Filed under: uncultured bacterium
Lineage: Bacteria
Description: partial 16S ribosomal RNA
Rfam family: Bacterial small subunit ribosomal RNA
Source: RNAcentral